AGUGAACGCUGGCGGUAGGCCUAACACAUGCAAGUCGAACGGCAGCACUGUCCGAGCUUGCUCUUACGGGUGGCGAGUGGCGGACGGGUGAGGAAUACAUCGGAAUCUACUUUUUCGUGGGGGGUACCGUAGAGCAACUUACGCUAAUACCGCAUACGCCCUACGGGUGAAAGCAGGGGAUCUUCGGACCUUGCGCGAUUGAAUGAGCCGAUGUCGGAUUAGCUAGUUGGCGGGGUAAAGGCCCACCAAGGCGACGAUCCGUAGCUGGUCUGAGAGGAUGAUCAGCCACACUGGAACUGAGACACGGUCCAGACUCCUCCGGGUGUCAACAGUGUGGAAUCUUGACGAUUGGGCGCACUCCUUAACCAGCCAUACCUGGUUGAUGAGGAAGGCGUUCGGGUUGUAAAACACAUUUUUACGUAAAGAAAAGCAGCAGGUUAAUACCCCGCCAUUCUGACGGUACCCAAACAAUAAGCACCGGCUAACUUCGUG
Molecule: ribosomal RNA, 492 nt
Filed under: uncultured bacterium
Lineage: Bacteria
Description: partial 16S ribosomal RNA
Rfam family: Bacterial small subunit ribosomal RNA
Source: RNAcentral